GCGAGUUAAAAAACUCCCAACCAUUGUGAACCUACCUACACUGUUGCUUCGGCGGGUGGCUUAUAGCCGCCGUACGUCCCCUUCAAAGGACGUAACCCGCCGGAGGUAUACAAACUCUAGUUAUUAUUAGCCUCUCUGAGUAACUUUUAAAUAAUAA
Molecule: unclassified non-coding RNA, 157 nt
Filed under: uncultured Ascomycota
Lineage: Eukaryota; Fungi; Ascomycota
Description: sequence contains ITS1
Source: RNAcentral